RNAcentral lists this unclassified non-coding RNA (253 nucleotides) under uncultured Planctomycetales bacterium. RNAcentral describes it as "contains 16S-23S intergenic spacer region". It matches the Rfam family "Bacterial small subunit ribosomal RNA", at positions 524 to 776 of the family's 1533-position model. The record is from RNAcentral. Lineage: Bacteria; Pseudomonadati; Planctomycetota; Planctomycetia; Planctomycetales.
UACAGAGGCCCCAAGCGUUAGGCGGAAUCACUGGGCUUAAAGCGUGUGCAGGCGGCCCAUCAAGUGCUUUGUGAAAGCCCACGGCUCAACCGUGGAACUGCUUGGCAUACUGAUGGGCUUGAAUCAUCCAGGGGCGAGCGGAACUCACGGUGGAGCGGUGAAGUGCAUAGAUAUCGUGAGGAACGCCAGAGGCGAAAGCGGCUCGCUGGGGAUGUAUUGACGCUCAGACACGAAAGCUAGGGUAGCGAACGGG